This 56-nucleotide ribosomal RNA is filed under the name Candidatus Phytoplasma sacchari. RNAcentral's name for it is "partial 23S ribosomal RNA". Lineage: Bacteria; Bacillati; Mycoplasmatota; Mollicutes; Acholeplasmatales; Acholeplasmataceae. The record is from RNAcentral.
AAAGGAAUCAAGGGAAUAUCUGAAGAUUUCUUCACGAGAAGAGCCGAUGAAGGACG